Molecule: non-coding RNA, 175 nt
Filed under: pig gut metagenome
Source: RNAcentral
AGGUAAUUUUGCAGCGUCAGAGUGGAUAAGGGAAUUGGGUGUGAAUCCCGAACUGUCCCGCAGCUGUAACUCUCAAUCCAAAUCUGUUAGGGAGAUUCGAGCCACUUGGAGCCUGGAAAAGGCGAAAGGGAAGGUGUCCGAAACAGAGAGAGAAGUCAGAAGACCUGCCACCCGU